AGGGGCUACCGUGAUCAUUAAGGCGGUUCCCCCGAGGCGAGGCUCUUCCAUUGCACUUAAUUAAUUGUUAUACUAGGAAAAAAUAAAAUUUCUAAAUCGA
RNAcentral lists this small nuclear RNA (100 nucleotides) under Phlebotomus papatasi. RNAcentral's name for it is "U1 spliceosomal RNA". Lineage: Eukaryota; Metazoa; Arthropoda; Insecta; Diptera; Psychodidae. The record is from RNAcentral.